GCCCUCGUGGCGGAAUGGCAGACGCGCCAGCUUUAGGAGCUGGUCCCGAAAGGGGUAGAGGUUCAAAUCCUCUCGAGGGCA
This 81-nucleotide transfer RNA is filed under the name Candidatus Jorgensenbacteria bacterium GWA1_54_12. Its description in RNAcentral is "tRNA-Leu". It matches the Rfam family "tRNA". From Rfam's summary of the family: Transfer RNA (tRNA) molecules are approximately 80 nucleotides in length. Their secondary structure includes four short double-helical elements and three loops (D, anti-codon, and T loops). Lineage: Bacteria; Candidatus Joergenseniibacteriota. The record is from RNAcentral.